UGAUGCAAAUAUUCUAAUAGCAAUUUUUUCUUCUUCAAUUGUUAAAUUUAGGUCAAAAUUAGUAUGUAGGAUGAAUUUUAAGUUUUCUAAUAUCUUAUCAAAUUUCAUCUUAUUCCAAUUAAUAGAUCUUUAGAUAUCAUACAAAUCUUAUCCAAUCUCAAAUUACAAACUUUUGAUACCUUCUUAAAGCAAAAAUCACAUAUCUUUCAAAUGCAUCAUUAGAUUAAAAAAAAAAAUUACAUAUACUUAGCAUACUCAAUCAAUUAAGUACUUUUAAAUUUUAGACUAUAAAUUUAAUAUCAAUUAUAUGAAGUAGAUAAAGUGUUAGG
RNAcentral lists this long non-coding RNA (329 nucleotides) under Physcomitrium patens. RNAcentral's name for it is "long non-coding RNA (PPAT_LNC002077)". The record is from RNAcentral. Lineage: Eukaryota; Viridiplantae; Streptophyta; Bryopsida; Funariales; Funariaceae.